GGGGCUGACCGGUUUCGAUCGGGCCCAGGACAGCAGUUCAGGUCGAGCCCGGGCAGGUGACGUCACCCGGUCAACAUGUCGUCACGCCAAGAAGCGCCAAGCGCGACUUCGCCCUCACCGCCUAGCGGUGACGUCCACGGCCGGGCGGUCCUGCCCCGAGCCGCACGGGCGCCGCAAGCAGGACUCGCCCCUCCGGCUGCCUCACGUGCGGGCUGGCGGGGGACACCCCCACGUGAGAACCAGGCGCCGCACUCCGACCCCCUCGGCGGCGCCGCGAACCCCGGGGUCGGUGACGCUCGUGAGGAUCCCUUUCUGCUUCCCUGACCGAGACGCGGGUUCGACUCCCGCCAGCUCCACC
This 358-nucleotide non-coding RNA is filed under the name Cellulomonas hominis. The record is from RNAcentral. Lineage: Bacteria; Bacillati; Actinomycetota; Actinomycetes; Micrococcales; Cellulomonadaceae.